Molecule: transfer RNA, 74 nt
Filed under: Persephonella sp.
Lineage: Bacteria; Pseudomonadati; Aquificota; Aquificia; Aquificales; Hydrogenothermaceae
Description: tRNA-Arg
Rfam family: tRNA
About the family: Transfer RNA (tRNA) molecules are approximately 80 nucleotides in length. Their secondary structure includes four short double-helical elements and three loops (D, anti-codon, and T loops).
Source: RNAcentral
GUGCCCGUAGCUCAAUUGGAUAGAGCACGUGACUACGGAUCACGGGGUUGGGGGUUCGAGUCCCUCCGGGCACG